RNAcentral lists this long non-coding RNA (368 nucleotides) under Manihot esculenta (cassava). Its description in RNAcentral is "long non-coding RNA (MESC_LNC009536)". Lineage: Eukaryota; Viridiplantae; Streptophyta; Magnoliopsida; Malpighiales; Euphorbiaceae. The record is from RNAcentral.
GUACUUACCAUUGCCAGGGCGUAGUCAAAGGCUCCUGGACUUUACUAUAACUGCCAGGGCGUAGUCAAAGGCUCCUGGUCUUUACUAUACCUGCCAGGGCGUAGUCAAAGGCUCCUGGACUUCCUGUCUGAGACUAUUGGAUCAUUCAGCAUUCACCCACAUCAACAAUAACUAUGCAAUGCAACAUAUUCGUGGAUACUAAUGCAAUCAACCUAUUGCAUAAUCAUGAUGCAUGAGAUAUGCUAAAACAUUCCAUUGUGCAAUUCAAAGAGUUAAGUUUAGUUCCACUCACCUCUGGCUAACUGGACUGACUCUGCAGGCUCUUAAAACUCGGGAGCAGAACUCACUGCUGCUCUCUCUGGUUCCUC